AUGUUAGCCGUAUGUGACAAAAAAUGUUUUAGCUUAGACACCACGUUACAUCGCUUAUAGCACCUUUAAUGACAUCAAAUACAAGCUAAUU
Molecule: long non-coding RNA, 91 nt
Organism: Alosa sapidissima (American shad)
Lineage: Eukaryota; Metazoa; Chordata; Actinopteri; Clupeiformes; Clupeidae
Exons: 3
Source: RefSeq, a predicted model, not a curated record